AUUGAACGCUGGCGGCAGGCUUAACACAUGCAAGUCGAGCGGGGUGAUGGUGCUUGCACUAUCACUUAGCGGCGGACGGGUGAGUAAUGCUUAGGAAUCUGCCUAUUAGUGGGGGACAACAUCUCGAAAGGGAUGCUAAUACCGCAUACGUCCUACGGGAGAAAGCAGGGGAUCACUUGUGACCUUGCGCUAAUAGAUGAGCCUAAGUCGGAUUAGCUAGUUGGUGGGGUAAAGGCCUACCAAGGCGACGAUCUGUAGCGGGUCUGAGAGGAUGAUCCGCCACACUGGGACGGAGACACGGCCCAGACUCCUACGGGAGGCAGCAGUGGGGAAGAUUGGACAAUGGGGGGAACCCUGAUCCAGCCAUGCCGCGUGUGUGAAGAAGGCCUUAUGGUUGUAAAGCACGUUAAGCGAGGAGGAGGCUCUUUUGGUUAAUACCCAAGAUGAGUGGACGUUACUCGCAGAAUAAGCACCGGCUAACUCUGUGCCAGCAGCCGCAGUAA
RNAcentral lists this ribosomal RNA (503 nucleotides) under uncultured bacterium. Its description in RNAcentral is "partial 16S ribosomal RNA". It matches the Rfam family "Bacterial small subunit ribosomal RNA", at positions 30 to 523 of the family's 1533-position model. The record is from RNAcentral.